Molecule: long non-coding RNA, 257 nt
Filed under: Sorghum bicolor (sorghum)
Lineage: Eukaryota; Viridiplantae; Streptophyta; Magnoliopsida; Poales; Poaceae
Description: long non-coding RNA (SBIC_LNC016145)
Source: RNAcentral
GUUAUCUACAAGAUCAUAUAUAGCAUAAAAGACUCUUUAUUCAUGUAUAAGGAACAUUGCUAAAGUAAAUCAGAGCAUCGCAAGACUUACUCCGCAAUACAAAUUCUGCCUGUCCUAUCAACGGAGGGUGGACUAUAUAAGAAUCAACGAAGCUGUCACUAUCGCAAACUACCACACAACCCGGCCAAUAGGAUACAUUUGCAGGUAAAUAACAUCUAAGCCCACGCCCACAUGUGAUCUACCAUUUAACUCCCACG